Molecule: ribosomal RNA, 253 nt
Filed under: uncultured bacterium
Lineage: Bacteria
Description: partial 16S ribosomal RNA
Rfam family: Bacterial small subunit ribosomal RNA
Source: RNAcentral
UACGUAGGGCGCAAGCGUUGUCCGGAAUUAUUGGGCGUAAAGAGCUCGUAGGCGGCUUGUCGCGUCGACUGUGAAAUCCCGCGGCUCAACUGCGGGUCUGCAGUCGAUACGGGCAGGCUAGAGUUCGGUAGGGGAGACUGGAAUUCCUGGUGUAGCGGUGAAAUGCGCAGAUAUCAGGAGGAACACCGAUGGCGAAGGCAGGUCUCUGGGCCGAUACUGACGCUGAGGAGCGAAAGCGUGGGGAGCGAACAGG